UACCAAAUAUUUUGUUCAUAUUUCUAUCUUGUUGUACAAGCUGUACAAUACAUAAGAAAUUGAACAUAAUGUGUGAAUAUUCUCUCUCCCCCCGCUCCUUACUGUACUGCAGGGACCCUGGAGAAGGAUAAAUUAUAUACAUAGAAUCCUGAUUGUAAACCGGUAUAUGUACAGUGUAUACUGUACAACAAUAAAACUGAUUCAAAUACUUCAGUUUGCACUAACCUGCGCUGCAACUCUUAUAUCAGAAUUAAUAUUCAGAAUCACUGGUAGAGGUUAGAGUGGGCGUUUCUCUCUUCCCCUCCUCCCCUUCAUACUUCGACUCUCUGCGUACUGAAGUAAGCUAGAGAUGACGACCUCGCCAACCCCCCUGGAAAGGUCGAGUACUCGUUUAUUUGUCAUUUUGUAUUGAAAUAAACGAUUGUACAAAUUUA
This is a long non-coding RNA of Eurytemora carolleeae, 434 nucleotides long. RefSeq lists it as uncharacterized. Lineage: Eukaryota; Metazoa; Arthropoda; Copepoda; Calanoida; Temoridae. The record is from RefSeq and is a predicted model, not a curated record. The transcript has 2 exons.